GUGGGGAAUAUUGCACAAUGGGGGAAACCCUGAUGCAGCGACGCCGCGUGAAGGAAGAAGUAUUUCGGUAUGUAAACUUCUAUCAGCAGGGAAGAAAAUGACGGUACCUGACUAAGAAGCUCCGGCUAAAUACGUGCCAGCAGCCGCGGUAAUACGUAUGGAGCAAGCGUUAUCCGGAUUUACUGGGUGUAAAGGGAGCGUAGGCGGCAGGGCAAGUCUGGUGUGAAACUCCGGGGCUCAACCCCGGACUUGCAUUGGAAACUGUCAGGCUGGAGUGCGGGAGAGGCAGGCGGAAUUCCUAGUGUAGCGGUGAAAUGCGUAGAUAUUAGGAGGAACACCAGUGGCGAAGGCGGCCUGCUGGACCGUAACUGACGCUGAGGCUCGAAAGCGUGGGGAGCGAACAGG
RNAcentral lists this ribosomal RNA (405 nucleotides) under uncultured bacterium. RNAcentral's name for it is "bacterial SSU rRNA". It matches the Rfam family "Bacterial small subunit ribosomal RNA", at positions 354 to 776 of the family's 1533-position model. The record is from RNAcentral.